This 395-nucleotide ribosomal RNA is filed under the name uncultured Gammaproteobacteria bacterium. Its description in RNAcentral is "bacterial SSU rRNA". It matches the Rfam family "Bacterial small subunit ribosomal RNA", at positions 38 to 435 of the family's 1533-position model. Lineage: Bacteria; Pseudomonadati; Pseudomonadota; Gammaproteobacteria. The record is from RNAcentral.
ACGCGGCGGCAGGCUAAACAUGCGAUUUAAGCGCGAAAACACUUCGGUGCGAGGUAAGUAGGCGGACGGGUGAGUACGCGUAGGAAUCUACCUAGUAGUGGGGGACAACUCGGGGAAACUCGAGCUAAUACCGCAUACGCCCUACGGGGGAAAGCGGGGGACCUUCGGGCCUCGUGCUAUUAGAUGAGCCUGCGUUGGAUUAGCUAGUUGGUGGGGUAAAGGCCUACCAAGGCGACGAUCCAUAGCUGGUCUGAGAGGAUGAUCAGCCACACCGGGACUGAGACACGGACCGGACUCCUACGGGAGGCAGCAGUGGGGAAUAUUGCGCAAUGGGCGAAAGCCUGACGCAGCCAUGCCGCGUGUGUGAAGAAAGACCUUCGGGUAGUAAGCAACUU